AGCCCUUUUCCCUCUUGGCACCA
This 23-nucleotide non-coding RNA is filed under the name Arabidopsis thaliana (thale cress). Lineage: Eukaryota; Viridiplantae; Streptophyta; Magnoliopsida; Brassicales; Brassicaceae. The record is from RNAcentral.